CCAAAGGUUGUUUUGUUUGUGCUGUUCCGUUGUAGUGUCUGUACAAAUAUUUGAAAGAAGACACUUUUUUUGCUUUUCUGUUCUUGUUUCUUCUCUCAGCUAUGGAAGAGAAUUCUGCUGCGGAACAUCAUUAUUACUACCCUCUUCCUGCUUCUGCUCCAAAAGUUGAUCCCAACCUCAGUGAUGAUGACAAGGGAGGAACUUGUGCAGAAGAAAGUAGCAUUCACAACAAACCCAGCACAUCACAGGGUAAUCCUGGCAUCAACAAAUAUGCUCUUGGUGGUGCUAUCUUGGCUUCUACAAACUCCAUUCUCUUAGGCUAUGAUAUUGGGGUCAUGAGUGGUGCUGCAUUGUUUAUCAGGCAAGAUCUCAAGAUCACAUCAGUCCAGGUGGAAAUCCUUGUUGGGUGCUUAAAUGUGUGUUCUCUAAUUGGGUCUCUUGCUUCAGGCAAGACUUCAGAUUGGAUUGGAAGGAGGUACACCAUAAUGGUUGCUGCAGCAACAUUCCUGAUCGGUGCUAUUCUGAUGGGGUUAGCUCCUUCAUUUCUGUUCCUCAUGGCUGGUCGUGUAGUUGCUGGCAUUGGUGUUGGUUACUCUCUCAUGAUUUCACCAGUGUAUGUGGCUGAGCUCUCUCCUGCACUCACCAGAGGGCUUCUCACAUCACUCCCUGAAGUCUUCAUUAGUGUUGGCAUUUUACUUGGUUAUGUCUCCAACUAUGCAUUUUCAAGCCUCCCUAAUGACAUAAAUUGGAGAAUCAUGCUUGGUGUUUCGGCCUUUCCAGCUGUUGCAGUGGCACUUGGCGUGUUGGCAAUGCCCGAAUCACCUCGCUGGCUGGUAGUGAAGGGAAGAUAUGAGGAAGCAAAACAAGUUUUGAUUAGAACAUCAGAUAAUAAAGGAGAAGCUGAAUUGAGGCUUGCUGAGAUACAAGAAGCUGCUUCUGCUUCCAUCACAAACAAGGACAAAGAACGUUCUUCUUCUGAUUCUCCCAAUAAUUCAGGAACUUGGCAUGGACAAGGAGUUUGGAAGGAGUUGCUUGUCACACCUACUUGUCCUGUUUUGAGAAUCCUUGUUGCUGCCAUUGGUGUUAACUUCUUCAUGCAGGCUUCUGGGAAUGAUGCAGUGAUAUAUUACAGCCCUGAAGUGUUUAAGGAAGCUGGGAUUGUGAAUGAGAAGCAGCUUGUGGGGGUUACAAUCAUCAUGGGAAUAACCAAGACAUGUUUUGUUUUGAUUUCAGCCAUGUUUAUGGAUCGGUUUGGACGAAGACCUUUGUUGAUGUUGGGCUCAUGUGGCAUGGCAAUGUCGUUGUUCUUGCUGGGCUUUGGUUGCACCUUCCUUAGGCUCUAUGGUGACACACAUGAUGGAUUGGUCAUUGCCUUGUGUGUGGUUGCUGUGUGUGCUACAGUUUCAUUCUUUUCUAUUGGGCUUGGGCCCACAACUUGGGUGUAUUCUUCAGAGAUUUUUCCUCUUAGGCUAAGGGCCCAAGGUUCCAGCUUGGCCAUUUCUGUGAACCGUGUGGUGAGUGGGAUUGUGUCCAUGACAUUCCUUAGUAUCUCAGAGGCAAUAACAUUUGGGGGCAUGUUCUUUGUGCUUGGUGGGGUGAUGGUGUGUGCCACACUCUUUUUUUAUUUCUUCUUACCAGAGACCAAAGGCAAAAGCUUAGAGGAGAUUGAAGCUUUGUUUGAAGAUCAGACACCAUCAGUCUAAGAGAUUAGAAGUCUUGAUCUUUAUAUGAAGUACAAUUUCUGAAGUUGAAGAAAAAUUGGUGCUGCUGUCUUUCAUGAGACAGACACACAAAUAAGAACAAAACAUGAUCCAGAUGCCAAUCUUGCGGACUCUGUUCUCAUCAAAAACCUUAUGUCAGAAGAAAAUAAUACAAUAUGUCACGGGUGUAUUUGUAUCAAUCAAACAUUUCAUUUAUGCUUGCUAUGUUCCUGAGAGAGAUUUCUUUCAUAAAUGCAAAUGGAUGAUAGACAAAACAUAUUCACAUCAAAAUUUAUCAACCUGCUGCAAUUGUUUAUUCUUUUGAGAAGAAUUGAAUGUGUCUGAUUCACAAGAUUGUGAUGAGAAAAUGAUCAUGUCUCUUGAUGAAUAUAAAAUAGGUAGGAGAGUGAUCAAUUAUGAUUGAGAAUGGGUUGAAAAAUAAGAGGCAUAGAGUGUCAUGUGUGUAAUGUAGGAACAGUAUCCUUAAGAAUCAAGCACAGGUAUAUUUAG
Vigna unguiculata (cowpea) is the source of this 2210-nucleotide RNA transcript. It is a transcript of the gene named putative polyol transporter 6, with no coding region annotated. The record is from RefSeq and is a predicted model, not a curated record. NCBI's taxonomy places the organism in Eukaryota, Viridiplantae, Streptophyta, Magnoliopsida, Fabales, Fabaceae.